GCAGGUAUCAAAUCCUGUACUUCAGCAAGUACAGGUGGAGGAGAAGGCUGUCGCACAAUUUCAAUAGGGGCAGGCAUUUCAACUUGUUCAAACGAGAUCAAGGAAUCUGUUCCCAUGGCAUUAUUUAUCUCGCGACCGUUAUUCUGGAUGCAGAUUGAGUCUAUAUCAGAUCUUUCUUUUUCCAAGUUUCCAACAUCUUUUUCUAUUGUAAGUUUGGUUUCUAUUGAUUGUUGUAAGCUUGGAAUGUCAAUGGGAGACAGAUCCAAAAUACGUGGAUAUUGAACCCCUUUAUCAACGAUAGGUGGUUGCCACUGGCCAUGAAGCCCAUUGGGACCCAAAAUAGAAUGACGGGAUAACGUUUCCUCCUUUGGGAGUGGAAUACGAAUAGAUCUGGAAUAUGAAAAUUGAUGAGUCCCUGAGUCUUGACGAGCAAUUUCUCUAGAAGCUGAUUU
This 452-nucleotide unclassified non-coding RNA is filed under the name Hevea brasiliensis (rubber tree). The record is from RNAcentral. Lineage: Eukaryota; Viridiplantae; Streptophyta; Magnoliopsida; Malpighiales; Euphorbiaceae.